Molecule: ribosomal RNA, 273 nt
Filed under: uncultured bacterium
Lineage: Bacteria
Description: partial 16S ribosomal RNA
Rfam family: Bacterial small subunit ribosomal RNA
Source: RNAcentral
AUACGGAGGGUGCAAGCGUUACUCGGAAUCACUGGGCGUAAAGCGCGCGCAGGCGGUCUUUUAAGUUGGAUGUGAAAGCCUCGGCUCAACCGUAGAACUGCAUCCAAAACUAUUAGACUAGAGUGUGGGAGAGGAAGAUGGAAUUAGUUGUGUAGGGGUAAAAUCCGUAGAGAUAACUAGGAAUACCAAAAGCGAAGGCAAUCUUCUGGAACACUACUGACGCUGAGGCGCGAAAGCGUGGGGAGCAAACAGGAUUAGAAACCCCGGUAGUCC